Long non-coding RNA from Vidua macroura (Pin-tailed whydah), 556 nucleotides. RefSeq lists it as uncharacterized. The record is from RefSeq and is a predicted model, not a curated record. The transcript is spliced from 3 exons. Lineage: Eukaryota; Metazoa; Chordata; Aves; Passeriformes; Viduidae.
GAAAAAAAAGGAGAAAGUUACUGUCCUUAAACUUUUUUUUUUUAAAGGUAGUUUGGGCAACAUAUAAUAAAAUUAACAAAACUUCUCUGAGCAUCUUGAGACAUUUCACAGUGUGUGGUGCUGUUCAAGUGACUCCAGAGCUGGUGUUGCCCAUGCAGGCUGAGAUUGGUACCACAUUCAGCAUCUUGGGACUUUGUCAAAGAUGAGCUGUGCUUCAAGUGUUGAACUGGUAACCAGCUGUAGGAAGCCAGUCCUUGGCUCAGUUUUUAACUGAGGAAACUUUAGACAGCAAACCUGCAGGAGAAAUGCCAUGCUGUGUGUUUGUGCUACAUUUUGUCAAGCAAUGGCUGUGUGCUCCCAGGUGAGAGAUGGAAAGGGAUGCAGAGAAUUUAGGGGUGACCCUAUCUUCCUGUACCAUCAGCAUACAUACAGAGAUGUCAUCAAAGAUGUUGUCUCAUCAUGAGAACAAGACACCAGAAAUAAGAUUCCACACUCUACAGAAGCUUUCCUGCAGAGCUGUCGUCAGGAGUGAACCAAGCCUUUUCCAGAGUGUAGC